UGGGGAAUAUUGCACAAUGGGCGCAAGCCUGAUGCAGCCAUGCCGCGUGUAUGAAGAAGGCCUUCGGGUUGUAAAGUACUUUCAGCGGGGAGGAAGGGAGUAAAGUUAAUACCUUUGCUCAUUGACGUUACCCGCAGAAGAAGCACCGGCUAACUCCGUGCCAGCAGCCGCGGUAAUACGGAGGGUGCAAGCGUUAAUCGGAAUUACUGGGCGUAAAGCGCACGCAGGCGGUUUGUUAAGUCAGAUGUGAAAUCCCCGGGCUCAACCUGGGAACUGCAUCUGAUGCUGGCAAGCUUGAGUCUCGUAGAGGGGGGUAGAAUUCCAGGUGUAGCGGUGAAAUGCGUAGAGAUCUGGAGGAAUACCGGUGGCGAAGGCGGCCCCCUGGACGAAGACUGACGCUCAGGUGCGAAAGCGUGGGGAGCAAACAGG
RNAcentral lists this ribosomal RNA (429 nucleotides) under Chloroflexota bacterium. RNAcentral describes it as "Chloroflexi bacterium partial 16S ribosomal RNA". It matches the Rfam family "Bacterial small subunit ribosomal RNA", at positions 355 to 776 of the family's 1533-position model. The record is from RNAcentral. Lineage: Bacteria; Bacillati; Chloroflexota.